This 253-nucleotide ribosomal RNA is filed under the name uncultured bacterium. Its description in RNAcentral is "partial 16S ribosomal RNA". It matches the Rfam family "Bacterial small subunit ribosomal RNA", at positions 524 to 776 of the family's 1533-position model. The record is from RNAcentral.
UACGUAGGUGGCAAGCGUUGUCCGGAAUUAUUGGGCGUAAAGCGCGCGCAGGCGGUUCUCCAAGUCAGUGGUGAAAGCCCGGAGCUCAACUCCGGAACUGCCAUUGAAACUGUUGAACUUGAGGACGAGAGAGGUGAGUGGAAUUCCCAGUGUAGAGGUGAAAUUCGUAGAUAUUCGCAAGAACACCAGUGGCGAAGGCGGCUCACUGGCCCGGUACUGACGCUGAGGUGCGAAAGCGUGGGGAGCAAACAGG